Molecule: ribosomal RNA, 484 nt
Filed under: uncultured bacterium
Lineage: Bacteria
Description: partial 16S ribosomal RNA
Rfam family: Bacterial small subunit ribosomal RNA
Source: RNAcentral
AUUGAACGCUAGCGGGAUGCUUUACACAUGCAAGUCGAACGGCAGCGCAGACUUCGGUCUGGCGGCGAGUGGCGAACGGGUGAGUAAUGUAUCGGAACGUGCCCAGUAGCGGGGGAUAACUACGCGAAAGCGUAGCUAAUACCGCAUACGCCCUACGGGGGAAAGCAGGGGAUCGUAAGACCUUGCACUAUUGGAGCGGCCGAUAUCGGAUUAGCUAGUUGGUGAGGUAACGGCUCACCAAGGCGACGAUCCGUAGCUGGUUUGAGAGGACGACCAGCCACACUGGGACUGAGACACGGCCCAGACUCCUACGGGAGGCAGCAGUGGGGAAUUUUGGACAAUGGGGGCAACCCUGAUCCAGCCAUCCCGCGUGUGCGAUGAGGGCCUUCGGGUUGUAAAGCACUUUUGGCAGGAAAGAAACGUCGCGGGCUAAUACCCCGUGGAACUGACGGUACCUGCAGAAUAAGCACCGGCUAACUACGUG